AGAACGAAGACAGCAAUUGGUCAUGUAGCCAAUUGCCAGAGCCUUUCUUGACACCUGGGUGGUAGGGAGCUUUCCAUUUUCACCUACCAGAUCUCCUCUGACAGCGUGAACGGACUAAGACAAUCCGUGGAGAUAAAGCCAGCGCUGUGUCAAGGAGCAGGAGAAAAUGAGCCUGAAGUCAGAGCCAGAGCCUGAUCAUUCCAGGUAUUAUAGAACUAGAGUUUGUGGGGCGCCCGGGUGGCGCAGUCGGUCGAGCGUCCGACUUCAGCCAG
Long non-coding RNA from Felis catus (domestic cat), 272 nucleotides. RefSeq lists it as uncharacterized. NCBI's taxonomy places the organism in Eukaryota, Metazoa, Chordata, Mammalia, Carnivora, Felidae. The record is from RefSeq and is a predicted model, not a curated record. The transcript is spliced from 3 exons.